RNAcentral lists this ribosomal RNA (295 nucleotides) under uncultured soil bacterium. RNAcentral's name for it is "partial 16S ribosomal RNA". It matches the Rfam family "Bacterial small subunit ribosomal RNA", at positions 26 to 319 of the family's 1533-position model. The record is from RNAcentral.
AGGACGAACGCUGGCGGCGUGCUUAACACAUGCAAGUCGAGCGGUAAGGCCUUUCGGGGUACACGAGCGGCGAACGGGUGAGUAACACGUGGGUGAUCUGCCCUGCACUUCGGGAUAAGCCUGGGAAACUGGGUCUAAUACCGGAUAUGACCUCCUAUCGCAUGGUGGGUGGUGGAAAGAUUUAUCGGUGCAGGAGUGGGCCCGACGGCCUACUCAGUCGUUUGUUGGUGGGUAAUGGCCGUACCAAGGCGACGACGGGUAGCCGACCUGAGAGGGUGACCGGCCACACGUGGAC